AAUGUCAUGGGGAAGAAUAUUUUUAGGACAUCAAAAGAAAAUACGCAAACUUUUAUAUCGUUUCAUACACACUUCAGUUGGCCUGAUUUUAUGAACAUGAGCUUACUUCAGGCAACUCCAGAAGUUCGAGUGAGUGGAAUUUAGGAGGAAGGCCUGGCUCGGGAUGGCAUCCUCGGGCAGGCUCUGAGGGCACGAGCACCAGCCGCGGUCUCCCACGAGGAACUGUGGAGACACCUGCGAGAAACAGGUACAAUGUUUGCAUCUUGGCUUACGGACAGACAGGAAGUGGGAAGAGCUUCACCACGCUGCGCCCCGCGUUCCAGGGAGGAGCCAGCCCCACCGUCGGAAUCCUUCGGCGACUUGGACAUCAUCCCCAGAGCCGCUGGAGGACUCUUCAGGAGCUGAUGCAAAGUUACUGGGCAAUCGUGGGCGUGGCCCAGGCCAGAGGCACGUGGCUGAGACGCUGCAGAGCCUGGGGCUUGGAGCCCAAGUGAGCGAGGCAAGCGGAGCGAGGCCGUCCAGCCCCCAGAAAAUUCAGGUGAAGGAGAGGUGGACGCGGGCUUUUCUCCCUUAAA
Molecule: long non-coding RNA, 575 nt
Organism: Lagenorhynchus albirostris (white-beaked dolphin)
Lineage: Eukaryota; Metazoa; Chordata; Mammalia; Artiodactyla; Delphinidae
Exons: 3
Source: RefSeq, a predicted model, not a curated record